UACGGAGGGUGCAAGCGUUGUCCGGAAUCACUGGGCGUAAAGGGCGCGUAGGCGGUCUUGUAAGUCUCGUGUGAAAUCCCUCGGCUUAACUGAGGAACUGCACGGGAUACUGCAUGACUUGAGGUCGGGAGAGGGAAGCGGAAUUCCGGGUGUAGCGGUGAAAUGCGUAGAUAUCCGGAGGAACACCGGUGGCGAAGGCGGCUUCCUGGACCGACUCUGACGCUGAGGCGCGAAAGCUAGGGGAGCAAACGGG
RNAcentral lists this ribosomal RNA (253 nucleotides) under uncultured bacterium. Its description in RNAcentral is "partial 16S ribosomal RNA". It matches the Rfam family "Bacterial small subunit ribosomal RNA", at positions 524 to 776 of the family's 1533-position model. The record is from RNAcentral.